This 1299-nucleotide ribosomal RNA is filed under the name Alpheus distinguendus. RNAcentral's name for it is "16S ribosomal RNA". The stretch from base 556 to 1299 matches the Rfam family "Archaeal large subunit ribosomal RNA". The record is from RNAcentral. Lineage: Eukaryota; Metazoa; Arthropoda; Malacostraca; Decapoda; Alpheidae.
UUGUAGCCUUUUGGUUAAGUGUUAGAAUUUUGUUUUCAAGGAUGAAGUAUCAUUGUGGCUUAGUAUUCUAAGGAAAAGUUUUUAAUAGAUAAAGUGUAUAGUAUUGUAAAAGAGGGUUUAAAAGUUAGAAAAAGAAGAUUUAAAUAUUCGUACCUUUUGUAUCAGGUAUUUCAAAUUUGGGGGCAGUCGGUCGACUUCUCGAAAUAUUAAGAUUUAUCUUGAUAAAUUAGGUGUAAGUGAUAAAUUGUAGCGUGAUUUUAAGAUAGAGGUGAAAUGCUAGCCGAUUAAUAUAUAUCUAGUUCGCUGAGAGAAAAGUUUAAUUUUCUCUUAGUUUUAUAAUUAGGGCUAAGGGUUAGCCUGUUGGGCAUGAGCUCAGCAGUCGGGUUUAGUGAGGUUAAAUUAGUUUAAUAAAGUGAGUGGAGCUAGGCUUGAAAUUAGCCAUGUUUAAAGGACGUUAUAGUCUAUUUUCGGUUAACUGUGUUUUUAAAGUAUUUGCUAAAAUUAUCAGUGAGCGUUUUUGAUUGUUAAGUUAGUGUCUAUAAUGAUAUAAUGAGUAGUGUUUAUUGUUGAGUAUUAGAUUUUGAAGAGGUGCUAUAAUUUUAAUAAAGGGGGGUACUGAUUAAGGAACUCGGCAAAUUUUUCCUUUGCCUGUUUAUCAAAAACAUGUCCUCAUGUUGGGUGUAUGAGGUCUGGCCUGCCCACUGAAAGUUUUUGAAGGGCCGCGGUAUUUUAACCGUGCGAAGGUAGCAUAGUCAAUAGUCUCUUAAUUGGAGGCUUGAAUGAACGGUCGGACAUAAGGAAGGCUGUCUGUAAUCAGUAAAAGUGAAUUUAACUUUUGUGUGAAAAGGCAUUAAUGAGUUAAUGGGACGAUAAGACCCUAUAAAACUUGAUAGUUGAUAUUAGGUUCUAUGACAUGUGAGUAAGGGGGGAGUUAAGGAAACUAUUGUGCUGGGGCGGCAGGAAUAGAAUUGUAACUGUUCUUUACUAUAAAAUAAUUAUAUUUAGAUAAUGACCCUGAAUUUCAGGUUGAAAGAUGAAGUUACUUUAGGGAUAACAGCGUUAUUUCUCUUGAGAGUUCAUAUCGACAGAGAUAUUUGCGACCUCGAUGUUGAAUUAAAAAUUUUCCCGGGAGUAGGAGUUCGGGUAAUAGGUCUGUUCGACCUUUAAAAUUUUACAUGAUUUGAGUUCAAACCGGUGUGAGCCAGGUUGGUUUCUAUCUUUUAGCUUUGGUGGGGCUAUUCCAGUACGAAAGGAUCGAGUAGCUGUAAGAUUUGCUUGUGGUUUGAGUAAUAUUAAAUU